CACGCCGUAAACGAUGUACGCUAGAUCGGUGCGGGUUUGACCCCGUAUCGGUCGACGUGAAAACGAUAAGCGUACCGCCUGGGGAGUACGGUCGCAAGGCUAAAACUCAAAUGAAUUGACGGGGGCUCACACAAGCGGUGGAGCAUGUUGCUUAAUUCGAGGCAACGCGAAGAACCUUACCUGGGCUUGACAUGGCCGGAUUAAACCAGUGAAAGCUGGUGUAGGCCCGCAAGGGUACAACGGUCACAGGUGC
Molecule: ribosomal RNA, 253 nt
Filed under: uncultured bacterium
Lineage: Bacteria
Description: partial 16S ribosomal RNA
Rfam family: Bacterial small subunit ribosomal RNA
Source: RNAcentral